RNAcentral lists this transfer RNA (65 nucleotides) under Pachygrapsus fakaravensis. RNAcentral's name for it is "tRNA-Tyr". It matches the Rfam family "tRNA". From Rfam's summary of the family: Transfer RNA (tRNA) molecules are approximately 80 nucleotides in length. Lineage: Eukaryota; Metazoa; Arthropoda; Malacostraca; Decapoda; Grapsidae. The record is from RNAcentral.
GAUAAAGUGGCUGAGCGAUAGGCGGUAGAUUGUAAAUUUAUUAACGAGUAGAGACUCCUUUGUCA